This 588-nucleotide ribosomal RNA is filed under the name uncultured bacterium. RNAcentral describes it as "partial 16S ribosomal RNA". It matches the Rfam family "Bacterial small subunit ribosomal RNA", at positions 355 to 1375 of the family's 1533-position model. The record is from RNAcentral.
UGGGGAAUUUUGGACAAUGGGCGAAAGCCUGAUCCAGCAAUGCCGCGUGUGUGAAGAAGGCCUUCGGGUUGUAAAGCACUUUUGUCCGGAAAGAAAUCCUUGGCUCUAAUACAGUCGGGGGAUGACGGUACCGGAAGAAUAAGCACCGGCUAACUACGUGCCAGCAGCCGCGGUAAUACGUAGGGUGCAAGCGUUAAUCGGAAUUACUGGGCGUAAAGCGUGCGCAGGCGGUUUGCUAAGACCGAUGUGAAAUCCCCGGGCUCAACCUGGGAACUGCAUUGGUGACUGGCAGGCUAGAGUAUGGCAGGAGGGGGGUAGAAUUCCACGUGUAGCAGUGAAAUGCGUAGAGAUGUGGAGGAAUACCGAUGGCGAAGGCAGCCCCCUGGGCCAAUACUGACGCUCAUGCACGAAAGCGUGGGGGAGCAAACAGGAUUAGAUACCCUGGUAGUCCACGCCCUAAAACGAUGUCAACUAGUUGUUGGGGAUUCAUUUCCUUAGUAACGUAGCUAACGCGUGAAGUUGACCGCCUGGGGAGUACGGUCGCAAGAUUAAAACUCAAAUGAAUUGACGGGGUCAUAGCUGUUUCCU